RNAcentral lists this ribosomal RNA (659 nucleotides) under Salmonella enterica subsp. enterica serovar Muenchen. Its description in RNAcentral is "bacterial LSU rRNA". It matches the Rfam family "Bacterial large subunit ribosomal RNA", at positions 11 to 717 of the family's 2925-position model. The record is from RNAcentral. Lineage: Bacteria; Pseudomonadati; Pseudomonadota; Gammaproteobacteria; Enterobacterales; Enterobacteriaceae.
CUAAGCGUACACGGUGGAUGCCCUGGCAGUCAGAGGCGAUGAAGGGCGUGCUAAUCUGCGAUAAGCGCCGGUAAGGUGAUAUGAACCGUUAUAACCGGCGAUACCCGAAUGGGGAAACCCAGUGUGACUCGUCACACUAUCAUUAACUGAAUCCAUAGGUUAAUGAGGCGAACCGGGGGAACUGAAACAUCUAAGUACCCCGAGGAAAAGAAAUCAACCGAGAUUCCCCCAGUAGCGGCGAGCGAACGGGGAGGAGCCCAGAGCCUGAAUCAGCAUGUGUGUUAGUGGAAGCGUCUGGAAAGGCGCGCGAUACAGGGUGACAGCCCCGUACACAAAAGCGCAUGUGCUGUGAGCUCGAUGAGUAGGGCGGGACACGUGGUAUCCUGUCUGAAUAUGGGGGGACCAUCCUCCAAGGCUAAAUACUCCUGACUGACCGAUAGUGAACCAGUACCGUGAGGGAAAGGCGAAAAGAACCCCGGCGAGGGGAGUGAAAAAGAACCUGAAACCGUGUACGUACAAGCAGUGGGAGCACCCUGUGUGACUGCGUACCUUUUGUAUAAUGGGUCAGCGACUUAUAUUCUGUAGCAAGGUUAACCGAAUAGGGGAGCCGGAGGGAAACCGAGUCUUAACCGGGCGUUAAGUUGCAGGGUAUAGACCCG